GGUUGACCUCGGAUCAGGUAGGGAUACCCGCUGAACUUAAGCAUAUCAAUAAGCGGAGGAAAAGAAACCAACAGGGAUUGCCUCAGUAACGGCGAGUGAAGCGGCAACAGCUCAAAUUUGAAAUCUGGCUCCUCUAGGGGUCCGAGUUGUAAUUUGUAGAGGAUGCUUCGGGCAAGGCUGUGGUCUAAUUUGCUUGGAACAGCGAGUCAUAGAGGGUGAGAAUCCCGUCUAGGAUCGUAAGCCGCGUCCAUGUGAAGCUCCUUCGACGAGUCGAGUUGUUUGGGAAUGCAGCUCUAAAUGGGUGGUAAAUUUCAUCUAAAGCUAAAUAUUGGCCAGAGACCGAUAGCGCACAAGUAGAGUGAUCGAAAGAUGAAAAGCACUUUGAAAAGAGAGUUAAACAGUAUGUGAAAUUGUUGAAAGGGAAGCGCUUGCAAUCAGACUUGUGUCUGACGGUUCCCCCGGCCUUCUGGCCGAGCUACUCCGUCAUGUCCAGGCCAACAUCGGUCUGGGGGGUCGGUGAAAGACCCCGGGAAUGUAUCUACCUUCGGGUCGACUUAUAGCCCGGGGUGUAAUGCGGCCUCCCCGGACCGAGGAACGCGCUUCGGCUCGGAUGUUGGCGUAAUGGUUGUAAGCGGCCCGUCUUGAAACACGGACCAAGGAGUCUAACAUCUAUGCGAGUGUUUGGGUGUCAAACCCCUACGCGUAAUGAAAGUGAACGGAGGUAAGAACCCCGCAAGGGGCGCAUUAUCGACCGAUCCUGAUGUCUUCGGAUGGAUUUGAGUAAGAGCAUAGCUGUUGGGACCCGAAAGAUGGUGAACUAUGCAUGAAUAGGGUGAAGCCAGAGGAAACUCUGGUGGAGGCUCGCAGCGGUUCUGACGUGCAAAUCGAUCGUCAAAUUUGUGCAUAGGGGCGAAAGACCAAUCGAACCAUUAAAGAAUAAUGAAGUGGAGGGUUACCGGGUGGUUCUUGAACAGUCCUUUGGGGCUACAUCGUCCUUCUGGCGGGGAUCAAAACCUGCAGCAGCUGAAGAUCUUCGGCUGUUCACAGACUAGGAGACGGUGGUCAUCUUGAUCAAAAAGAUGAUGAUGAUAUAGUCGGUCAUGGUUAAGAUCUUUAACCGUGAUUCAACGCUGGUAGCUGGUUCCUGUCGAAGUUUCCCUCAGGAUAGCAGUAACGUUUUCAGUUUUAUGAGGUAAAGCGAAUGAUUAGAGGCCUUGGGGUUGAAACAACCUUAACCUAUUCUCAAACUUUAAAUAUGUAAGAAGUCCUUGUUACUUAAUUGAACGUGGACAUUUGAAUGUAUCGUUACUAGUGGGCCAUUUUUGGUAAGCAGAACUGGCGAUGCGGGAUGAACCGAACGUGAGGUUAAGGUGCCGGAAUGUACGCUCAUCAGACACCACAAAAGGUGUCAAUGCAUCCAGACAGCCGGACGGUGGCCAUGGAAGUCGGAAUCCGCUUAGGAGUGUGUAGUUAUACCUUUUGGUUAAGCUCUGGGGUUGUUGCACACAAUCAUCUCUAUUGUUAUAGGGAUAGUUGACCGUUGAGACGGUUGAACGAUGGCUCUAUUUGACUGGGAAUCUUACAAAGGUGAUCGGUCGUAAACCUAUUUCGGGUUUAUCCACAGACUAAAAAGAGCCGACCGUUACUGAGAUGUUACGGUUAAGAUAUAGUCGAUCAAGACCUCCAAUCGAGGCAACUUUUAACGAGAACAACUCACCGGCCGAAUGCAUUGGCCCUGAAAAUGGAUGGCGCUUAAGCGUGCUACCUAUACCUCGCCGUUGGGGUUGAAAUGAUGCCCCAACGAGUAGGCAGGCGUGGGGGUUUGUGACGAAGCCCUUGG
RNAcentral lists this ribosomal RNA (1840 nucleotides) under Verrucaria rosula. RNAcentral describes it as "eukaryotic LSU rRNA". It matches the Rfam family "Eukaryotic large subunit ribosomal RNA", at positions 1 to 1415 of the family's 3401-position model. Lineage: Eukaryota; Fungi; Ascomycota; Eurotiomycetes; Verrucariales; Verrucariaceae. The record is from RNAcentral.